RNAcentral lists this ribosomal RNA (630 nucleotides) under Kaloula sp. Panay. Its description in RNAcentral is "partial 16S ribosomal RNA". It matches the Rfam family "Bacterial large subunit ribosomal RNA", at positions 1614 to 2476 of the family's 2925-position model. Lineage: Eukaryota; Metazoa; Chordata; Amphibia; Anura; Microhylidae. The record is from RNAcentral.
AGACCUUCUCCAAAAUAUAAGUGUGAGCCGAAAUGAACACCUCACCGGCACAUAACGCAACUGAGUCAAUAGUAAUAAACCCACAAGAAAACUUUACCAAAACACGCGUCAACCUUACACCAGUAUAUUACCGGAAAGAUUAAAAAAGAGGGAAGGAACUCGGCAAAUCUUAACCCCGCCUGUUUACCAAAAACAUCGCCUUUUGAAAAAAUAUAAAAGGUCCAGCCUGCCCAGUGACAAAAUUAAACGGCCGCGGUACCCUGACCGUGCAAAGGUAGCACAAUCACUUGUUCUUUAAAUAGGGACUAGUAUGAACGGCAUCACGAGGGUUAUACUGUCUCCCCUCUCUGAUCAAUGAAACUGACCUCCCCGUGAAGAGGCGGGGAUAAUAAUAUAAGACGAGAAGACCCCAUGGAGCUUAAAAAUCAGCACCAACUACCUAACCCCACACCACCCCAAUCCCGGUAGCCAUGGUCCCUGACUUUCGGUUGGGGCGACCGCGGAGUAAAACAAAACCUCCACGAUGAAUGGACUAACCACCCUAAUCAUAGAGCCACAACUCAAAGAAUCAAGAAAUUGACACAACUGACCCAAUAGCUUUGAUCAACGAACCAAGUUACCCUGGGGAUA